Molecule: ribosomal RNA, 253 nt
Filed under: uncultured bacterium
Lineage: Bacteria
Description: partial 16S ribosomal RNA
Rfam family: Bacterial small subunit ribosomal RNA
Source: RNAcentral
UACGUAGGGGGCAAGCGUUGUCCGGAAUCAUUGGGCGUAAAGCGCGCGUAGGCGGCCCGGUAAGUCCGCUGUGAAAGUCAAAGGCUCAACCUUUGAAUGCCGGUGGAUACUGUCGGGCUAGAGUCCGGAAGAGGCGAGUGGAAUUCCUGGUGUAGCGGUGGAAUGCGCAGAUAUCGGGAAGAACACCCGUGGCGAAGGCGGUUCUCUGGGACGGUACUGACGCUGAGACGCGAAAGCGUGGGGAGCGAACAGG